GGAUUAGUAGUUUAACCAAAAUAAUUUAUUGCAAAUAAAUAGAUGAUUAUUGUCCUAAUCUU
Molecule: transfer RNA, 62 nt
Filed under: Brachionus rotundiformis
Lineage: Eukaryota; Metazoa; Rotifera; Eurotatoria; Ploima; Brachionidae
Description: tRNA-Cys
Source: RNAcentral